RNAcentral lists this ribosomal RNA (253 nucleotides) under uncultured bacterium. Its description in RNAcentral is "partial 16S ribosomal RNA". It matches the Rfam family "Bacterial small subunit ribosomal RNA", at positions 524 to 776 of the family's 1533-position model. The record is from RNAcentral.
UACGGGGGGGGCAAGCGUUGUUCGGAAUUACUGGGCGUAAAGGGCGCGUAGGCGGCCUACUAAGUCAGACGUGAAAUCCCUCGGCUUAACCGGGGAACUGCGUCUGAUACUGGAUGGCUUGAGUUUGGGAGAGGGACGCGGAAUUCCAGGUGUAGCGGUGAAAUGCGUAGAUAUCUGGAGGAACACCGGUGGCGAAGGCGGCGUCCUGGACCAACACUGACACUGAUGAGCGAAAGCCAGGGGAGCAAACGGG